Molecule: ribosomal RNA, 465 nt
Filed under: Vreelandella stevensii
Lineage: Bacteria; Pseudomonadati; Pseudomonadota; Gammaproteobacteria; Oceanospirillales; Halomonadaceae
Description: partial 16S ribosomal RNA
Rfam family: Bacterial small subunit ribosomal RNA
Source: RNAcentral
CCUACGGGUGGCAGCAGUGGGGAAUAUUGGACAAUGGGCGAAAGCCUGAUCCAGCCAUGCCGCGUGUGUGAAGAAGGCCUUCGGGUUGUAAAGCACUUUCAGUGGGGAAGAAAGCCUUGGGGCUAAUACCCUCGAGGAAGGACAUCACCCACAGAAGAAGCACCGGCUAACUCCGUGCCAGCAGCCGCGGUAAUACGGAGGGUGCGAGCGUUAAUCGGAAUUACUGGGCGUAAAGCGCGCGUAGGCGGUCUGAUAAGCCGGUUGUGAAAGCCCCGGGCUCAACCUGGGAACGGCAUCCGGAACUGUCAGGCUAGAGUGCAGGAGAGGGAGGUAGAAUUCCCGGUGUAGCGGUGAAAUGCGUAGAGAUCGGGAGGAAUACCAGUGGCGAAGGCGGCCUUCUGGACUGACACUGACGCUGAGGUGCGAAAGCGUGGGUAGCAAACAGGAUUACAUACCCCGGUAGUC